UAAUACAUAAGCAACCUGGCCACAAAGACGGGGAUAACACCUGGAAACGGGCGCUAAUACCGGAUAAGUGAAGGUGGGGCAUCCCACCAUCAUAAAAGGGAGAGAAACGCGAGUGGAUGGGCUUAUGGUGCAUUAGUUAGUUGGCGGGAUAAAGGCCCACCAAGACGAUGAUGCAUAGCCGGACUGAGAGGUUGAACGGCCACAUUGGGACUGAGACACGGCCCAGACUCC
This 231-nucleotide ribosomal RNA is filed under the name uncultured bacterium. RNAcentral's name for it is "partial 16S ribosomal RNA". It matches the Rfam family "Bacterial small subunit ribosomal RNA", at positions 111 to 339 of the family's 1533-position model. The record is from RNAcentral.